Molecule: long non-coding RNA, 271 nt
Organism: Zophobas morio
Lineage: Eukaryota; Metazoa; Arthropoda; Insecta; Coleoptera; Tenebrionidae
Exons: 3
Source: RefSeq, a predicted model, not a curated record
GGAAGAAGUUUUAACAGUACAAUACCGCAAAGUUUAGUAAGGCCAACCGUAAAAGUUGUUAGGCAUGGACUUUAAAGAAUUGCUUAACACUAAGUUACACUCCCUUCCCAAAUGGAUUGCUCAGAACGUUAGUAUGUCCAGUGUGAAGACUACGUUUAUUGAAGCUAUAGAAACUUAUAGAAAAAAAUAUAUAGUGCCGGGGAAAUGUAAUCCUGUGUUCCAUUUUGCUUUUGUUUCGGGCUUAAUUUUUUAUUAUUUCUCGCACGACCAU